RNAcentral lists this ribosomal RNA (508 nucleotides) under uncultured bacterium. RNAcentral describes it as "partial 16S ribosomal RNA". It matches the Rfam family "Bacterial small subunit ribosomal RNA", at positions 28 to 523 of the family's 1533-position model. The record is from RNAcentral.
GAUGAACGCUAGCUACAGGCUUAACACAUGCAAGUCGAGGGGAAACGAUAGAGAAAGCUUGCUUUUUCUAGGCGUCGACCGGCGCACGGGUGAGUAACGCGUAUCCAACCUGCCCAUCACUUGGGGAUAACCUUGCGAAAGUAAGACUAAUACCCAAUGACGUCCAUAGAAGGCAUCUGAAAGGGAUUAAAGAUUUAUCGGUGAUGGAUGGGGAUGCGUCUGAUUAGCUUGUUGGCGGGGUAACGGCCCACCAAGGCGACGAUCAGUAGGGGUUCUGAGAGGAAGGUCCCCCACAUUGGAACUGAGACGCGGUCCAAACUCCUACGGGAGGCAGCAGUGAGGAAUAUUGGUCAAUGGGCGAGAGCCUGAACCAGCCAAGUAGCGUGCAGGAUGACGGCCCUAUGGGUUGUAAACUGCUUUUGUAAGGGAAUAAAGUGAGCCUCGUGAGGCUUUUUGCAUGUACCUUAUGAAUAAGGACCGGCUAAUUCCGUGCCAGCAGCCGCCGUAA